Molecule: ribosomal RNA, 161 nt
Filed under: Bursaphelenchus sinensis
Lineage: Eukaryota; Metazoa; Nematoda; Chromadorea; Rhabditida; Aphelenchoididae
Description: 5.8S rRNA
Rfam family: 5.8S ribosomal RNA
About the family: 5.8S ribosomal RNA (5.8S rRNA) is a component of the large subunit of the eukaryotic ribosome. It is transcribed by RNA polymerase I as part of the 45S precursor that also contains 18S and 28S rRNA.
Source: RNAcentral
UAAGUUACUCCGGUGGAUCACUCGGUUCGCGGGUCGAUGAAAAAACGCAGUGAAUUGCGAUAUGAAGUACGAAUUACAGAUAUUACGAGUACCAUGUUUUUGAAUGCAUAUUGCGUCGUUGGGCUUUGCUCUUCGACAUAUGUGAUUCAGGGUAUGUUUCU